This 550-nucleotide ribosomal RNA is filed under the name Conus ateralbus. RNAcentral describes it as "partial 12S ribosomal RNA". It matches the Rfam family "Bacterial small subunit ribosomal RNA", at positions 597 to 1383 of the family's 1533-position model. Lineage: Eukaryota; Metazoa; Mollusca; Gastropoda; Neogastropoda; Conidae. The record is from RNAcentral.
AAACCAAGAAAUUUAGUCAUUCUUUUAUGGUAAAAAAACAGUUAGGCAGGGGUAGAAAAUUAUUAGAUCUUUAGUAUAGGAGUAAAAUCUAAAUACUAAAAGUUAUAUCAGACAUGAUUUAUUUAAGAUGCUGAGGCUGUGAUAGCUUUAAGGGAAACUGGGAUUGGAUACCCCAUUAUUUUUAGCUGUAAAUUUAGCUUGAGCUUACCAGAGUACUACGAAUAAAAAGUUUAAAACUCAAAGGGCUUGGCGGUGUUUUAGACCUCUCAGGGGAACCUGUCUCGUAAUCGACAAUCCACGAUAAACCUAACCUUUAAUGGCAAUUCAGCCUGUAUACCGUCGUCGUCAGGUAACUUCUUAAAAUAUAGUAGUUAGCUUGAGAAUUAUAUUAAUUAGAACGUCAGAUCAAGGUGCAGCCAAUGAAGAGGUGAGGAUGGGUUACAAUUACAUAUUUGUAAAUACGGAAAAACGUUUGAAAUGAAGUGUCUUAAAGGAGGACUUGAAAGUAAUUUUAUCUAUAUAAAUAGAAUGAAUAGGGCUCUGAAACGUG